Molecule: ribosomal RNA, 1048 nt
Filed under: human gut metagenome
Description: bacterial SSU rRNA
Rfam family: Bacterial small subunit ribosomal RNA
Source: RNAcentral
AGUACCACAAGAGGAAGAGACGGCUAACUCUGUGCCAGCAGCCGCGGUAAUACAGAGGUCUCAAGCGUUGUUCGGAAUCACUGGGCGUAAAGCGUGCGUAGGCUGUUUCGUAAGUCGUGUGUGAAAGGCGCGGGCUCAACCCGCGGACGGCACAUGAUACUGCGAGACUAGAGUAAUGGAGGGGGAACCGGAAUUCUCGGUGUAGCAGUGAAAUGCGUAGAUAUCGAGAGGAACACUCGUGGCGAAGGCGGGUUCCUGGACAUUAACUGACGCUGAGGCACGAAGGCCAGGGGAGCGAAAGGGAUUAGAUACCCCUGUAGUCCUGGCAGUAAACGGUGCACGCUUGGUGUGCGGGGAAUCGACCCCCUGCGUGCCGGAGCUAACGCGUUAAGCGUGCCGCCUGGGGAGUACGGUCGCAAGAUUAAAACUCAAAGAAAUUGACGGGGACCCGCACAAGCGGUGGAGUAUGUGGCUUAAUUCGAUGCAACGCGAAGAACCUUACCUGGGCUUGACAUGUAAUGAACAACAUGUGAAAGCAUGCGACUCUUCGGAGGCGUUACACAGGUGCUGCAUGGCCGUCGUCAGCUCGUGUCGUGAGAUGUUUGGUUAAGUCCAGCAACGAGCGCAACCCCUGUUGCCAGUUACCAGCACGUGAAGGUGGGGACUCUGGCGAGACUGCCCAGAUCAACUGGGAGGAAGGUGGGGACGACGUCAGGUCAGUAUGGCCCUUAUGCCCAGGGCUGCACACGUACUACAAUGCCCAGUACAGAGGGGGCCGAAGCCGCGAGGCGGAGGAAAUCCUAAAAACUGGGCCCAGUUCGGACUGUAGGCUGCAACCCGCCUACACGAAGCCGGAAUCGCUAGUAAUGGCGCAUCAGCUACGGCGCCGUGAAUACGUUCCCGGGUCUUGUACACACCGCCCGUCACAUCAUGGAAGCCGGUCGCACCCGAAGUAUCUGAAGCCAACCGCAAGGAGGCAGGGUCCUAAGGUGAGACUGGUAACUGGGAUGAAGUCGUAACAAGGUAGCCGUAGGGGAACCUGCGGCUG